This 445-nucleotide ribosomal RNA is filed under the name uncultured bacterium. Its description in RNAcentral is "partial 16S ribosomal RNA". It matches the Rfam family "Bacterial small subunit ribosomal RNA", at positions 354 to 796 of the family's 1533-position model. The record is from RNAcentral.
GUGAGGAAUAUUGCGCAAUGGAGGCAACUCUGACGCAGCCAUGCCGCGUGCAGGAAGAAGGCGCUACGCGUUGUAAACUGCUUUUAACCGGGAAGAAACCCCAGGACGUGUCCUGGGUUGACGGUACCGGAGGAAUAAGCACCGGCUAACUUCGUGCCAGCAGCCGCGGUAAUACGAAGGGUGCAAGCGUUAUCCGGAUUCAUUGGGUUUAAAGGGUGCGUAGGCGGAGCGUUAAGUCAGUGGUGAAAUCCUGCAGCUUAACUGUAGACUUGCCAUUGAUACUGGCGCUCUUGAGUGCGCUUGAAAUGGGCGGAAUGUGCCGUGUAGCGGUGAAAUGCUUAGAUAUGGCACAGAACACCAAUUGCGAAGGCAGCUCACUAAGGCGAUACUGACGCUGAGGCACGAAAGCGUGGGGAUCGAACAGGAUUAGAUACCCUGGUAGUCC